This 811-nucleotide ribosomal RNA is filed under the name uncultured bacterium. RNAcentral describes it as "bacterial SSU rRNA". It matches the Rfam family "Bacterial small subunit ribosomal RNA", at positions 53 to 853 of the family's 1533-position model. The record is from RNAcentral.
ACUGCAAGUCGAGCGGGGUUACUGCGACAGAUCCCUUCGGGGUGACGUUGCUUUAACCUAGCGGCGGACGGGUGAGUAACGCGUGGGUAACCUACCCUAAAGCUCGGGAUAACAGUGGGAAACCGCUGCUAAUACCGGAUGACUUUAACCUAUGGCAUCAUGGGUUAAAGAAAGAUUUAUCGCUUUAGGAUGGGCCCGCGUCCCAUUAGCUAGUUGGUGAGGUAACGGCUCACCAAGGCGACGAUGGGUAGCCGGCCUGAGAGGGUGUACGGCCACACUGGGACUGAGACACGGCCCAGACUCCUACGGGAGGCAGCAGUAGGGAAUAUUGCGCAAUGGACGGAAGUCUGACGCAGCGACGCCGCGUGAGCGAUGAAGGCCUUCGGGUCGUAAAGCUCUGUCCUUGGGGAAGAAGGUCUUCGGACUUGACGGUACCCAAGAAGAAAGCCCCGGCUAACUACGUGCCAGCAGCCGCGGUAAUACGUAGGGGGCGAGCGUUGUCCGGAAUUACUGGGCGUAAAGGGUGCGUAGGCGGCCCUUUAAGUCAGAUGUGAAAGGCCACGGCUUAACCGUGGGAUUGCAUUUGAAACUGGAGGGCUUGAGUGUCGGAGAGGGUAGUGGAAUUCCCAGUGUAGCGGUGAAAUGCGUAGAUAUUGGGAGGAACACCAGUGGCGAAGGCGACUACCUGGACGAUAACUGACGCUGAGGCACGAAAGCUAGGGGAGCAAACAGGAUUAGAUACCCUGGUAGUCCUAGCCGUAAACGAUGGGUACUAGGUGUAGGAGGUUUCGAUACCUUCUGUGCCGCAGUU